CCUACGGGUGGCAGCAGUGAGGAAUAUUGGUCAAUGGGCGGAAGCCUGAACCAGCCAAGUCGCGUGAGGGAUGAAGGCCCUGCGGGUCGUAAACCUCUUUUGCCGGGGAGCAGAGGGCCGGACGUGUGCGGGCCGGGAGAGUACCCGGAGGAAAAGCAUCGGCUAACUCCGUGCCAGCAGCCGCGGUAAUACGGAGGAUGCGAGCGGUAUCCGGAUUUAUUGGGUUGAAAGGGUGCGUAGGCGGGCCUUUAAGCCGGCGGUCAAAUGUCGGGGCGCAACCCGGGCCUGCCGUCGGAACUGGGUGCCUUGAGUGGGCGAGAAGUAUGCGGAAUGCGUGGUGUAGCGGUGAAAUGCAUAGAUAUCACGCAGAACCCCGAUUGCGAAGGCAGCAUACCGGCGCCCUACUGACGCUGAGGCACGAAAGUGUGGGUAUCGAACAGGAUUAGAUACCCUUGUAGUC
This 460-nucleotide ribosomal RNA is filed under the name uncultured bacterium. Its description in RNAcentral is "partial 16S ribosomal RNA". It matches the Rfam family "Bacterial small subunit ribosomal RNA", at positions 338 to 795 of the family's 1533-position model. The record is from RNAcentral.